RNAcentral lists this ribosomal RNA (450 nucleotides) under uncultured bacterium. Its description in RNAcentral is "bacterial SSU rRNA". It matches the Rfam family "Bacterial small subunit ribosomal RNA", at positions 354 to 796 of the family's 1533-position model. The record is from RNAcentral.
GUGGGGAAUAUUGGACAAUGGGGGAAACCCUGAUCCAGCCAUGCCGCGUGUGUGAAGAAGGCCUUCGGGUUGUAAAGCACUUUCAGUAGGGAGGAAAGCUCGGUAGCUAAUAUCUGCCGGGAUUGACGUUACCUACAGAAGCAGCACCGGCUAACUUCGUGCCAGCAGCCGCGGUAAUACGAAGGGUGCAAGCGUUAAUCGGAAUUACUGGGCGUAAAGCGCGCGUAGGCGGUUUGGUUAGUUGGAUGUGAAAGCCCCGGGCUCAACCUGGGAACUGCAUCCAAUACUGCCAGGCUAGAGUACGGUAGAGGGGGGUAGAAUUCCACGUGUAGCGGUGAAAUGCGUAGAGAUGUGGAGGAAUACCAGUGGCGAAGGCGGCUCACUGGACCGUUGUUGACGCUGAGGUGCGAAAGCGUGGGGAGCAAACAGGAUUAGAAACCCGGGUAGUCC